UUGCAGUCGCUGCGCACAGAGAACGUGGGCUUCCCUUCGGGGCGUCUGUGAAGGUGCUGCAUGGUUGUCGUCAGCUCGUGCCGUGAGGUGUCGGCUUAAGUGCCAUAACGAGCGAAAAACCCUUUCCCAGUUGCCAUCGGGUCAUGCCGGGCACUCUGGGGACACUGCCACCGCAAGGUGCGAGGAAGGUGGGGAUGACGUCAAAUCAGCACGGCCCUUACGUCCGGGGCUACACACGUGUUACAAUGGCCGGUACAGAGGGACGGUGUAAUGCAAGUUGCAUCCAAUCUUGAAAUCCGGUCCCAGUUCGGACUGGGGUCUGCAACCCGACCCCACGAAGCUGGAUUCGCUAGUAAUCGCGCAUCAGCCAUGGCGCGGUGAAUACGUUCCCGGGCCUUGUACACACCGCCCGUCAAGCCAUGAAAGCCGGGGGUGCCUGAAGUUCGUGACCGCGAGGAGCGACCUAGGGCAAGACCGGUGAUUGGGGCUAAGUCGUAACAAGGUAGCCG
RNAcentral lists this ribosomal RNA (509 nucleotides) under uncultured bacterium. Its description in RNAcentral is "bacterial SSU rRNA". It matches the Rfam family "Bacterial small subunit ribosomal RNA", at positions 986 to 1502 of the family's 1533-position model. The record is from RNAcentral.